This 180-nucleotide ribosomal RNA is filed under the name Triticum aestivum (bread wheat). Its description in RNAcentral is "partial small subunit ribosomal RNA". Lineage: Eukaryota; Viridiplantae; Streptophyta; Magnoliopsida; Poales; Poaceae. The record is from RNAcentral.
AACCUAAAAAUACCUCUGAUAGUGAAGAUAUUCCUCUGGUUUUUAAGCAGAUGGGUCAUUUUAACUAGAGAUAACCUGGCACGACGUAACUGACAAGGUAGCAAGACAUGUUUCUUUUGCCAACAUGAUGAGUCUAUUAAAUACUUAUUUUUUUAGUGUAAGUUCGCUCGUGCAUUAUGA